AAUUUAGGACCACGAGGACCUACCAUCAAAUCCUUAGGCAUAAUGGAACAUCUGAUUCAAUGAUCGGUUCCGUUAGAUUUGAUCUACGUUAUUAUAACUAUUUAAAAACUAAAUUUUAUAAUUUUUUGAUUUCGUUUGCCUAAUAAACGAGUAGUCUCAAAAUGAACAACUGAAAACAAAAAUCUCAUAAAAAAUAGUGAUAAAAGAUUCAAAUUUUAAAUCGGAAGUAUUGAUUCUGCUCUUGAUGUUAAGUAAAAUUUUUUAUUAAAAUUUCAUAUAAUUUAAAUUGUUCCACACUAUUAAACUUACGAAAGUAUCACAUCGGCCGUUAAAAUAGUAAUUUUUGAGAUCCUUUUGAUCACUUGAUAAAUGAUGCUGAAAAAUUAUAAAAUUUGAUUUCUAAAUAAUUUUA
This 412-nucleotide long non-coding RNA is filed under the name Ananas comosus (pineapple). RNAcentral's name for it is "long non-coding RNA (ACOM_LNC008338)". Lineage: Eukaryota; Viridiplantae; Streptophyta; Magnoliopsida; Poales; Bromeliaceae. The record is from RNAcentral.